RNAcentral lists this ribosomal RNA (1365 nucleotides) under Salmonella enterica subsp. enterica serovar Typhimurium. RNAcentral describes it as "partial 23S ribosomal RNA". It matches the Rfam family "Bacterial large subunit ribosomal RNA", at positions 610 to 1874 of the family's 2925-position model. Lineage: Bacteria; Pseudomonadati; Pseudomonadota; Gammaproteobacteria; Enterobacterales; Enterobacteriaceae. The record is from RNAcentral.
GUAUAAUGGGUCAGCGACUUAUAUUCUGUAGCAAGGUUAACCGUAUAGGGGAGCCGUAGGGAAACCGAGUCUUAACCGGGCGUUAAGUUGCAGGGUAUAGACCCGAAACCCGGUGAUCUAGCCAUGGGCAGGUUGAAGGUUGGGUAACACUAACUGGAGGACCGAACCGACUAAUGUUGAAAAAUUAGCGGAUGACCUGUGGCUGGGGGUGAAAGGCCAAUCAAACCGGGAGAUAGCUGGUUCUCCCCGAAAGCUAUUUAGGUAGCGCCUCGUGAAUUCAUCUCCGGGGGUAGAGCACUGUUUCGGCUAGGGGGCCAUCCCGGCUUACCAACCCGAUGCAAACUGCGAAUACCGGAGAAUGUUAUCACGGGAGACACACGGCGGGUGCUAACGUCCGUCGUGAAGAGGGAAACAACCCAGACCGCCAGCUAAGGUCCCAAAGUCAUGGUUAAGUGGGAAACGAUGUGGGAAGGCCCAGACAGCCAGGAUGUUGGCUUAGAAGCAGCCAUCAUUUAAAGAAAGCGUAAUAGCUCACUGGUCGAGUCGGCCUGCGCGGAAGAUGUAACGGGGCUAAACCAUGCACCGAAGCUGCGGCAGCGAACGUAUCACCCAAGACAACUUUACGGAGUUGACGAUUGACGGAGCGAAGCGACGUCAAAGCGUUCAUUAAAGUCGAGUUGGCUUAGGGAUACGUUCGUUGGGUAGGGGAGCGUUCUGUAAGCCUGUGAAGGUGUGUCGUGAGGCAUGCUGGAGGUAUCAGAAGUGCGAAUGCUGACAUAAGUAACGAUAAAGCGGGUGAAAAGCCCGCUCGCCGGAAGACCAAGGGUUCCUGUCCAACGUUAAUCGGGGCAGGGUGAGUCGACCCCUAAGGCGAGGCCGAAAGGCGUAGUCGAUGGGAAACGGGUUAAUAUUCCCGUACUUGGUGUUACUGCGAAGGGGGGACGGAGAAGGCUAUGUUGGCCGGGCGACGGUUGUCCCGGUUUAAGCGUGUAGGUGUGUGUUCCAGGUAAAUCCGGUUCACUUUAACACUGAGGCGUGACGACGAGGCACUACGGUGCUGAAGCAACAAAUGCCCUGCUUCCAGGAAAAGCCUCUAAGCAUCAGGUAACACGAAAUCGUACCCCAAACCGACACAGGUGGUCAGGUAGAGAAUACCAAGGCGCUUGAGAGAACUCGGGUGAAGGAACUAGGCAAAAUGGUGCCGUAACUUCGGGAGAAGGCACGCUGACACGUAGGUGAAGUGAUUUACUCAUGGAGCUGAAGUCAGUCGAAGAUACCAGCUGGCUGCAACUGUUUAUUAAAAACACAGCACUGUGCAAACACGAAAGUGGACGUAUACGGUGUGACGCCUGCCCGGUGCCGGAA